AGUGAACGCUGGCGGCAUGCCUAACACAUGCAAGUCGAACGGCAGCACAGUAAGAGCUUGCUCUUCCGGGUGGCGAGUGGCGGACGGGUGAGGAAUACAUCCGAAUCUACUUUUUCGUGGGGGAUAACGUAGGUAAACUUACGCCAAUACCGCAUACGAUCUACGGGUGAAAGCAGGGGAUCUUCGGACCUUGCGCGAUUGAAUGAGCCGAUGUCGGAUUAGCUAGUUGGCGGGGUAAAGGCCCACCAAGGCGACGAUCCGUAGCUGGUCUGAGAGGAUGAUCAGCCACACGGGAACUGAGACACGGUCCAGACUCCUACGGGAGGCAGCAGUGGGGAAUAUUGGACAAUGGGCGCAAGCCUGAUCCAGCCAUACCGCGUGGGUGACGAAGGCCUUCGGGUUGUAAAGCCCUUUUGUUGGGAAAGAAAAGCAGCAGGUUAAUACGCAGCUGUACUGACGGUACCGAAAGAAUAAGCACCGGCUAACUACGUG
RNAcentral lists this ribosomal RNA (492 nucleotides) under uncultured bacterium. RNAcentral's name for it is "partial 16S ribosomal RNA". It matches the Rfam family "Bacterial small subunit ribosomal RNA", at positions 29 to 507 of the family's 1533-position model. The record is from RNAcentral.